This 253-nucleotide ribosomal RNA is filed under the name uncultured bacterium. RNAcentral describes it as "partial 16S ribosomal RNA". It matches the Rfam family "Bacterial small subunit ribosomal RNA", at positions 524 to 776 of the family's 1533-position model. The record is from RNAcentral.
UACGGGGGAUGCAAGCGUUAUCCGGAAUUAUUGGGCGUAAAGAGUUCGUAGGUUGUUGUCAAAGCCUAUUGUUAAAUCUCAAGGCUUCACCUUGAAUCAGCAGUAGGGACCUGGCAACUAGAGUGCGGUAGAGGUAGGGGGAAUUCCCGGUGUAGCGGUGAAAUGCGUAGAUAUCGGGAAGAACACCGGAGGCGAAAGCGCCCUACUGGGCCGACACUGACACUGAGGAACGAAAGCUAGGGUAGCAAAUGGG